AGUGGUGUGGCUCAGUGGCAGAGCAUAUUCUCAGUAUGUAUGAAUCCCUGGGUUUAAUCCCCAGUAUCAUAA
RNAcentral lists this transfer RNA (72 nucleotides) under Heterocephalus glaber (naked mole-rat). It matches the Rfam family "tRNA". Rfam says of the family: Transfer RNA (tRNA) molecules are approximately 80 nucleotides in length. Their secondary structure includes four short double-helical elements and three loops (D, anti-codon, and T loops). Further hydrogen bonds mediate the characteristic L-shaped molecular structure. tRNAs have two regions of fundamental functional importance: the anti-codon, which is responsible for specific mRNA codon recognition, and the 3' end, to which the tRNAs corresponding amino acid is attached (by aminoacyl-tRNA synthetases). tRNAs cope with the degeneracy of the genetic code in two manners: having more than one tRNA (with a specific anti-codon) for a particular amino acid; and 'wobble' base-pairing, i.e. permitting non-standard base-pairing at the 3rd anti-codon position. Lineage: Eukaryota; Metazoa; Chordata; Mammalia; Rodentia; Bathyergidae. The record is from Rfam by way of RNAcentral.